UACGGAAGGCAGCAGUGGGGAAUAUUGCACAAUGGGCGCAAGCCUGAUGCAGCCAUGCCGCGUGUAUGAAGAAGGCCUUCGGGUUGUAAAGUACUUUCAGUCGUGAGGAAGGUGUUAAGGUUAAUAACCUUAGCAAUUGACGUUAGCGACAGAAGAAGCACCGGCUAACUCCGUGCCAGCAGCCGCGGUAAUACGGAGGGUGCGAGCGUUAAUCGGAAUUACUGGGCGUAAAGGGCACGCAGGCGGUUAAUUAAGUUGGAUGUGAAAUCCCCGGGCUUAACCUGGGAAUGGCAUUCAAGACUGGUUAGCUAGAGUCUUGUAGAGGGGGUAGAAUUCCAUGUGUAGCGGUGAAAUGCGUAGAGAUGUGGAGGAAAUACCGGUGGCGAAGGCGGCCCCUGGACAAAAGGACUGACGCUCAUGUGCGAAAAGCGUGGGGGAGCAAAAACAGGGAUUUAGAUACC
Molecule: ribosomal RNA, 461 nt
Filed under: uncultured bacterium
Lineage: Bacteria
Description: bacterial SSU rRNA
Rfam family: Bacterial small subunit ribosomal RNA
Source: RNAcentral